RNAcentral lists this ribosomal RNA (439 nucleotides) under uncultured bacterium. RNAcentral describes it as "partial 16S ribosomal RNA". It matches the Rfam family "Bacterial small subunit ribosomal RNA", at positions 338 to 795 of the family's 1533-position model. The record is from RNAcentral.
CCUACGGGAGGCAGCAGUGGGGAAUAUUGCACAAUGGGCGAAACCCUGAUGCAGCAACGCCGCGUGAGCGAUGAAGGCCUUCGGGUUGUAAAGCUCUGUCCUCAAGGAAGAUAAUGACGGUACUUGAGGAAGAAGCACCGGCUAACUACGGGCCAGCAGCCGCGGUAAUACGUAGGGGGCUAGCGUUAUCCGGAAUUACUGGGCGUAAAGGGCGCGUAGGUGGAUUGCCAAGUCAGAGGUGAAAGGCUAGGGCUCAACCGUAGUAAGCCUUUGAAACUGUUGAUCUUGAGUGCAGGAGAGGUAGGUGGAAUUCCUAGUGUAGCGGUAAAAUGCGUAGAUAUUAGGAGGAACACCAGUUGCGAAGGCGGCUCUCUAGACUGUAACUGACGCUGAGGCGCGAAAGCGUGGGGAGCAAACAGGAUUAGAUACCCGAGUAGUC